GGAAACCCAAGUCACCUCAGGUUUCACUCAGUUGGGGCACACCUAAAGAGCCAGUUAAUGCUGGAAGUUUGCGUGGUUGGGACCUGCCAAAAGCAGGUGGGAGCAAUGGAAGUGAAAUACAACCACAGUGGGGCAAGUCAAAGCCACCUGAAGGUUCACAUGGUUGGGGCUCGUCCAAUGAGCCAGUUAAAGCAGCAGGUUGGAACCAGCCAAAUGCAGGGGGCAGUGAUGCAACUAAAAGACAGCAGCAGUGGGAGAAACCCAAGUCACCUGAAGCUUCACAUGGUUGGGGCCCAUCUAAGGAGCCAGUUAAAGCGGCUGGUUGGGACCUGGAAAAUGCAGGAGGUGGUGAUGGAAGUGAAAGACAGCAGCAGUGGGGGAAAUCCAAGUCAUCUGAAGUUUCACAAAGCUGGGGCUCUCCCAAAGAAUCGGUGAAAGCAGGAAGUUCCCAGGGUUGGGGCAUGCCUAAUGCCGAAGGUAGUGAAGGAGGUGAAAGACCACGACAGUGGGGAAAACCCAAAUCACCUGACGUUUCACAAGGCUGGGGCUCACCCAAAGAGUCAGUUAAAGCAGCAAGUUCCAAGGGGUGGGG
Molecule: long non-coding RNA, 592 nt
Filed under: Jatropha curcas
Lineage: Eukaryota; Viridiplantae; Streptophyta; Magnoliopsida; Malpighiales; Euphorbiaceae
Description: long non-coding RNA (JCUR_LNC000935)
Source: RNAcentral